Molecule: ribosomal RNA, 315 nt
Filed under: uncultured eukaryote
Lineage: Eukaryota
Description: partial 18S ribosomal RNA
Rfam family: Eukaryotic small subunit ribosomal RNA
Source: RNAcentral
CCCUUAGACGUUCUGGGCCGCACGCGCGCUACACUGACCAGUGCAACAAGCAUCCGUCCUUGGCCGACAGGCUCGGGCAAUCUUUGAACGCUGGUCGUGAUGGGGAUAGACUUUUGCAAUUUUUGGUCUUCAACGAGGAAUUCCUAGUAAACGCAAGUCAUCAGCUUGCAUUGAUUACGUCCCUGCCCUUUGUACACACCGCCCGUCGCACCUACCGAUUGAAUGGUCCGGUGAAGCCUCCGGAUUGGCGCGCACCUCGGUGCCGCCGAGAAGUUGGCUAAACCUUACCAUUUAGAGGAAGGUGAAGUCGUANCA